This 218-nucleotide non-coding RNA is filed under the name Virgibacillus chiguensis. Its description in RNAcentral is "T-box sequence". It matches the Rfam family "T-box leader". Rfam says of the family: Uncharged tRNA acts as the effector for transcription antitermination of genes in the T-box leader family. T-boxes are found upstream of many aminoacyl-tRNA synthetase genes and some amino acid biosynthetic genes usually in Gram-positive bacteria. The record is from RNAcentral. Lineage: Bacteria; Bacillati; Bacillota; Bacilli; Caryophanales; Bacillaceae.
AAUGAACCGAUGACGGAAACAGUAGUUGGUUGCCGAAUUGACUAGAGAAAAAAUGCCAAUGGCUGGAAGCAUUUUACAUAUUCGCCCAAUGAAAGACGCUCCAGAGGUUUUAUAUCGAAUUUUAGUAGGUAUAAACGUAUCGCAGGCGUUAACUGCAUAAAGCGGGUGUUAUAUACAUCAACUAGGGUGGCAACGCGGGUUAAACUCUCGUCCCUUAU